CACGACACCUGGCCUGAAGUUCAUUUUUUACCAGAUUAAAAUACAUUGUUGUAUCUUUUAGAGGUUUUAUAUAAUCCCCAAGGUAACCCCAAGAAUACGUUUGCGUAAGUACACAAAACAAAUGAGAAAGAAGUAAAAGCAUACCAAGAUAAGUACAACAAAGACACAAAGACAGAAAAAGAGAAAAUGAGGAACAAAGAUACAAGAAGCAAAUACAACAAUUAACAAAAUAACAAUAGUAAGUCUGCAUAAGUGGAGAAAAAUAAAAUUCUUUUCAGACAAGCAAAUGCUGAGGGAGCACAUCACCACCAGGCCUGCCUUGCUAGAGCUCCUGAAAGAAGCACUAAGGUUAAGAAGAAAAAACCAUUACCAGCCAUUGCAAAAACACACUGAAGUACAAAGAUCAAUUAUGCUAUAAAACAACUACAUCAACAACUCUGCAAAAUAAGCAGCUAGCACUACUUGGACAGAAUCAAAAUCACACAUAAAAAUACUAACCUUAAAUGUAAUAGGCUGAAUACCUCAACUGAAAGACACAGAAGGGCAAGCUGGAUAAAGAGUCAUGACACAGUUUGGGACCAGCCUGACCAACAUAGUGAAACCCCAUCUCUACUAAAAAUACAAAAAAUUAGCUGGGUGUGGUGGUGGGCGCCUGUAAUCCCAGCUACUCAAAAUCCCGCAACUACAACGAAACUGAACAACCUACUCCUGAAUGAAUUUCCUGAAUGAACAACUUGCUCCUCUUUAUUUCUGGGUAAAUAAUACAACUAAAUCAGAAAUCAAAAAAUUAUUUGAAACCAAUGAGAAUGAAGAGACAAUGUAGCCGGGCGUGGUGGCUCACACAUGUAAUCCCAGCACUUUGGGAGGCUGAGGCGGACAGAUCACCUGAGGUCGGGAGUUCGAGACCAGCCUGACCAAUAUGGUGAAACCCCGUCUCUACUAAAAAUAUAAAAAUUAGCCUUGCUUGGUGGCCGGCACCUGUAGUCCCAGCUACAUGGGAAGCUGAGGCAGGAGAAUUGCUUGAACCUGGGAGGCGGAGGUUGCAGUGAGCCGAGAUCACACCACUACACUCCAGCCUGGGGUCAGAGCGAGACUCCGUCUCAAAAAAA
Molecule: long non-coding RNA, 1109 nt
Filed under: Homo sapiens (human)
Lineage: Eukaryota; Metazoa; Chordata; Mammalia; Primates; Hominidae
Description: HSALNT0257130
Source: RNAcentral